This is a non-coding RNA of Myotis lucifugus (little brown bat), 64 nucleotides long. The record is from Rfam. NCBI's taxonomy places the organism in Eukaryota, Metazoa, Chordata, Mammalia, Chiroptera, Vespertilionidae.
GGCCACCCUCUGCAGGGCGAUCGAUGGGGGGGCUCCAUGAUUGAUCGCCCUGCAGAGGGAGGCC